RNAcentral lists this ribosomal RNA (480 nucleotides) under uncultured bacterium. RNAcentral describes it as "partial 16S ribosomal RNA". It matches the Rfam family "Bacterial small subunit ribosomal RNA", at positions 28 to 507 of the family's 1533-position model. The record is from RNAcentral.
GACGAACGCUGGCGGCGUGCUUAACACAUGCAAGUCGAACGAUGAAGAAAAGAAUCGAAGCUUCGGCAGAAAUUCAUUUCGGAUUAGUGGCAGACGGGUGAGUAACGCGUGAGCAACCUACCUCUUACAAAGGGAUAGCCUCGGGAAACCGGGAUUAAUACCAUAUAACAUUGCGACGAAGCAUUUCGAUGCAAUCAAAGCUACGGCGGUAAGAGAUGGGCUCGCGUCCCAUUAACCGGAUGGUGAGGUAACGGCUCACCAUAGUGACGAUGGGUAACCGGACUGAGAGGGUGAACGGUCACACUGGAACUGAGACACGGUCCAGAAUCCUACGGGAGGCAGCAGUGGGGAAUAUUGCACAGUGGAGGGAACUCUGAUGCAGCGACGCCGCGUGAGUGAUGAAGGAAUUCGUGUAGUAAAACUCUGUUAUAUGGGAAGAAAAGGACUGUACCAUAGGAGAAAGCUCCGGCUAAAUACGUG